This 217-nucleotide unclassified non-coding RNA is filed under the name Hevea brasiliensis (rubber tree). Lineage: Eukaryota; Viridiplantae; Streptophyta; Magnoliopsida; Malpighiales; Euphorbiaceae. The record is from RNAcentral.
GGAAAAAGGGCUAAAAUUAGCCUUGAGAUCAUGUUGAAAAUUAUCAGAAAAUUUCAGAUAUAACUAGAAAACCAACUAAAUGCCAAUUUUCAUUUCAGUUUUAUAGGUUUAAUGAUUGUAAAAAGCAUCAAGAUGAAGUAUUAUGGGCAUAUUGCUUUCUCUCUAAAUUAAACUUAAAAGGAGUUAGAGGAUGAGGAUUGUUCGACAAAUUAAGGAA